CUAAGGCGCCCGUACCGUAAACCGACACAGGUGGGUGAGGAGAGUAUCCUAAGGCCAGCGAGAGAACUAUUGUUAAGGAACUCGGCAAAAUGACCCCGUAACUUAGGGAGAAGGGGUGCCUGUCUAUGACAGGCCGCAGAGAGUAGGCCCAAGCGACUGUUUACCAAAAACACAGGUUUCUGCUAAGUCGCAAGACGAUGUAUAGGAGCUGACGCCUGCCCGGUGCUGGAAGGUUAAGGGGAUCUGUUAGAGCAAUCGAAGCAGUGAACUUAAGCCCCAGUAAACGGCGGCCGUAACAAUAACGGUCCUAAGGUAGCGAAAUUCCUUGUCGGGUAAGUUCCGACCCGCACGAAAGGCGUAACGAUUUGGGCACUGUCUCAACAGUAGACUCGGUGAAAUUGUAAUCCCGGUGAAGAUGCCGGGUACCUGCGACAGGACGGAAAGACCCCAUGGAGCUUUACUGUAGCUUGACGUUGGGUCUUGGUACUACAUGUACAGGAUAGGUGGGAGACUAUGAAGCAUGGACGCCAGUCUGUGUGGAGUCAUCCUUGGGAUACCACCCUUGUAGUACUGGGAUCCUAACCAUAGGCCUUGAAUCAGGUCUUGGAACACCGUCAGGUGGGCAGUUUGACUGGGGCGGUCGCCUCCUAAAAAGUAACGGAGGCGCUCAAAGGUUUCCUCAGCACGGUCGGAAAUCGUGCGAAGAGUGUAAAGGCAAAAGGAAGCUUGAUUGCAAGACAUACAGGUCGAGCAAGGACGAAAGUCGGACUUAGUGAUCCGGUGGUACCGCAUGGAAGGGCCAUCGCUCAACGGAUAAAAGCUACCCUGGGGAUAACAGGCUUAUCUCCCCCAAGAGUCCACAUCGACGGGGAGGUUUGGCACCUCGAUGUCGGCUCAUCACAUCCUGGGGCUGUAGUAGGUCCCAAGGGUUGGGCUGUUCGCCCAUUAAAGUGGUACGCGAGCUGGGUUCAGAACGUCGUGAGACAGUUCGGUCCCUAUCCGUCGCAGGCGUAGGAAAUUUGAGAAGACCUGUCCUUAGUACGAGAGGACCGGGAUGGACGUACCUCUGGUGUACCAGUUGUUCUGCCAAGGGCAUGGCUGGGUAGCUAUGUACGGAAUGGAUAAGCGCUGAAAGCAUCUAAGCGCGAAGCCAACUUCAAGAUAAGAUUUCCCACCGUAAGGGUAAGACCCCAGGAAGACUACCUGGUUGAUAGGUCGAAGGUGUAAGUGCAGUAAUGUAUUUAGCUUAUCGAUACUAAUAGGUCGAGGACUUGACCA
RNAcentral lists this ribosomal RNA (1278 nucleotides) under metagenome. RNAcentral describes it as "bacterial LSU rRNA". It matches the Rfam family "Bacterial large subunit ribosomal RNA", at positions 1633 to 2925 of the family's 2925-position model. The record is from RNAcentral.